UGGGGAAUAUUGCACAAUGGGCGCAAGCCUGAUGCAGCGACGCCGCGUGAGGGAUGACGGCCUUCGGGUUGUAAACCUCUUUCAGCAGGGAAGAAGCGCAAGUGACGGUACCUGCAGAAGAAGCGCUGGCUAACUACGUGCCAGCAGCCGCGGUAAUACGUAGGGCGCAAGCGUUGUCCGGAAUUAUUGGGCGUAAAGAGCUCGUAGGCGGUUUGUCGCGUCUGCUGUGAAAACGCGAGGCUCAAACUCGCGCCUGCAGUGGGUACUGGCAGACUAGAGUGCGGUAGGGGAGACUGGAAUUCCUGGUUUAGCGGUGGAAUGCGCAGAUAUCAGGAGGAACACCGGUGGCGAAGGCGGGUCUCUGGGCCGUAACUGACGCUGAUGAGCGAAAGCAUGGGGAGCGAACA
RNAcentral lists this ribosomal RNA (407 nucleotides) under uncultured bacterium. Its description in RNAcentral is "bacterial SSU rRNA". It matches the Rfam family "Bacterial small subunit ribosomal RNA", at positions 355 to 774 of the family's 1533-position model. The record is from RNAcentral.